UACGGAGGGUGCGAGCGUUAAUCGGAAUGACUGGGCGUAAAGGGCACGCAGGCGGGUUGUUAAGUGAGAUGUGAAAGCCCCGGGCUUAACCUGGGAAUUGCAUUUCAGACUGGCAAUCUAGAGUAUUUUAGGGAGGGGUAGAAUUCCACGUGUAGCGGUGAAAUGCGUAGAGAUGUGGAGGAAUACCGAAGGCGAAGGCAGCCCCUUGGGAAUAUACUGACGCUCAUGUGCGAAAGCGUGGGGAGCAAACAGG
Molecule: ribosomal RNA, 253 nt
Filed under: uncultured bacterium
Lineage: Bacteria
Description: partial 16S ribosomal RNA
Rfam family: Bacterial small subunit ribosomal RNA
Source: RNAcentral